CUUAGAGAAAGGUAAUACUAAAAAAUGCUUUGUAGUUGUACACAAAGCUUCCGCUUACUUUCCUUCUUCUUUCCCACCUUUUUUAUAUUGUUGGUUUGUAGUAAGGGGAUAUAGCUCAGCUGGCUAGAGCGGCGGCUUUGCAAGCCGUAGGUCAGGGGUUCAAAUCCCCUUAUCUCCAAAAGCGCAGCGUAAAAUAUUUUUAUCGCCACGCACUGUUCUUUGAAAGAUGAGGGAAGGGAAAGAAAGACUACUUGAAGGUGAGUUUUCUUGAUAUUAAAGGGGAAAUGAGCUGGAGAGUAGGAAAAUAAGGUGAAGAGAAUAAGCUUAAGAUAGCUGUGGAAUUGAGUUUUUUCCGGUAAGGGGAAAGAUGAGAGGAAAGAGCUACGUUUAAGAAGAGAAAAUAAUAU
This 407-nucleotide transfer RNA is filed under the name Treponema vincentii. RNAcentral describes it as "16S-23S intergenic spacer region". The stretch from base 105 to 178 matches the Rfam family "tRNA". Lineage: Bacteria; Pseudomonadati; Spirochaetota; Spirochaetia; Treponematales; Treponemataceae. The record is from RNAcentral.